GACGAACGCUGGCGGCGUGCUUAACACAUGCAAGUCGAGCGGGGAUCCCCGAAGUUUUCGGAUGGAGGGGAUUCCAGCGGCGGACGGGUGAGUAACGCGUGAGCAAUCUGUCCCGGAAUGGGGGAUAACAGAUGGAAACAUCUGCUAAUACCGCAUAAGACCACGAGGUCACAUGGCCUUGGGGUAAAAGGCGCAAGCCGAUUCGGGGUGAGCUCGCGUCCGAUUAGCUGGUUGGCGGGGUAAGAGCCCACCAAGGCGACGAUCGGUAGCCGACCUGAGAGGGUGAUCGGCCACACUGGAACUGAGAAACGGUCCAGACUCCUACGGGAGGCAGCAGUGGGGGAUCUUGCACAAUGGGCGAAAGCCUGAUGCAGCGACGCCGCGUGAGCGAAGAAGGCCUCGGUUGUAAAGCUCUGUCUGGAGGGACGGAACGAAAAUAGACGGUAACCGUCCGGACGGAAGGACCGACGGCCGUAACUAACGUGCCAGCAGCCGCGGUAACUACGUAGUCGU
RNAcentral lists this ribosomal RNA (513 nucleotides) under uncultured bacterium. RNAcentral describes it as "bacterial SSU rRNA". It matches the Rfam family "Bacterial small subunit ribosomal RNA", at positions 28 to 535 of the family's 1533-position model. The record is from RNAcentral.